Molecule: non-coding RNA, 223 nt
Organism: Pelobates cultripes (western spadefoot toad)
Lineage: Eukaryota; Metazoa; Chordata; Amphibia; Anura; Pelobatidae
Source: the annotation of a GenBank genome assembly
CUUUCCCAGAUCCACUAAUGGUAGAUUUAGUGUGCGCCUGUCAGUUAUCCUAUUGUGAGGAUUAUAUCUCUAUCGCCCUCAGUUGUUGCUUCUCAAGCCAUGGUGAUGUCCAAUAUACUUAUGACGGAGCCAGAGCUUCGCUUGAGUCUCUUACCACCUCUUUCACAGAGUUGUGUUUUGUAUUGUUCAUUAUCGCAUGUUGGGUCUCCGUGUUCUGUUGGAG